UGUCUUUCCAGGAGGUCAAGUGUCCGG
Molecule: non-coding RNA, 27 nt
Filed under: Rattus norvegicus (Norway rat)
Lineage: Eukaryota; Metazoa; Chordata; Mammalia; Rodentia; Muridae
Source: RNAcentral